Molecule: ribosomal RNA, 250 nt
Filed under: uncultured bacterium
Lineage: Bacteria
Description: partial 16S ribosomal RNA
Rfam family: Bacterial small subunit ribosomal RNA
Source: RNAcentral
UACGGAGGAUGCGAGCGUUAUCCGGAUUUAUUGGGUUUAAAGGGUGCGUAGGCGGCCCCUUAAGUCAGCGGUAAAAUUUCUGCGCUCAACGCAGUCGUGCCGUUGAAACUGGGGGGCUUGAGUCUAGAUGAAGUGGGCGGAAUUUGUAGUGUAGCGGUGAAAUGCAUAGAUAUUACAAGGAACUCCGAUUGCGCAGGCAGCUCACUAAGCUAUCACUGACGCUGAAGCACGAAAGCGUGGGUAUCAAACA